CCCGUCCGGCCAAAGACCUUGCUUGUCAUCCCUGUAAAACAGAUCAAGGAAACAUCCAUCGGUCAUCCAAAUUAAAACUCGAAAACCAAUUAAGAAACUGAUAGAUCGAUCAAGGACUAGCUAAACUAAAAUUUUAUACAGUCAGUCAAUUAGUAGUUUCAUAUAUAUAUAUAUAUAUAUAUAUAUAUAUAUAUAUAUAUAUAUACAUGAAAAUUGUGUAAGAUGGAAGUGAUGCAGAAACGGAUUCAAUGAUUUCGAAAGAAUUGAACGAGGAUGGAGGCUAUACCGUAGCAUGCAAGUGAAAUUAAUGUAGAUAUUUAUAGAAAAUUGAAGAGGGCAUAGCUAGAGAGAUGUAUAUAUACUGAUGAAUUAAAGAUUCAGAAGAAAAAAUCUUAUAUAUUUAUAUAUAUGGCGAGGAUUAUCUUAAUUUGACUAGUAGAGAUAAGAGAAGAAUAAGCUAGCAACUAUAGUCUAUCAGACAAGUGGUUUAUAUAUAAGCUGAUGCUGUGAUUAUGUCAAAUUUAUUGGUUU
RNAcentral lists this long non-coding RNA (531 nucleotides) under Panax ginseng (ginseng). RNAcentral's name for it is "long non-coding RNA (PGIN_LNC008058)". The record is from RNAcentral. Lineage: Eukaryota; Viridiplantae; Streptophyta; Magnoliopsida; Apiales; Araliaceae.